RNAcentral lists this ribosomal RNA (465 nucleotides) under uncultured bacterium. RNAcentral describes it as "partial 16S ribosomal RNA". It matches the Rfam family "Bacterial small subunit ribosomal RNA", at positions 28 to 507 of the family's 1533-position model. The record is from RNAcentral.
GACGAACGCUGGCGGCGUGCUUAACACAUGCAAGUCGAACGGAAAGGCCCCUUUGGGGGUACUCGAGUGGCGAACGGGUGCGUAACACGUGAGUAACCUGCCCUUGACUUCGGGAUAACUUCAGGAAACUGGGGCUAAUACCGGAUAGGAAUCCUUGCUGCAUGGUGGGGGUUGGAAAGCUUCGGCGGUUUUGUAUGGACUCGCGGCUUAUCAGCUUGUUGGUGGGGUAGUGGCUUACCAAGGCUUUGACGGGUAGCCGGCCUGGGAGGGCGACCGGCCAUACUGGGACUGAGAGAAGGCCCAGACUCCGACGGUAGGCAGCAGGGGGGAAGACUGCACAAGGAGCGGAGGGCUGAUGCAGCAACGCCGCGGGCGGGAUGACGGCCUUCUGGUUGAAAACCGAAUUCAGCAGGAGCGAUGCUCGUGGUGACGGUACCUGAAGAAGAAGCACCGGCUAACUACGUG